This 471-nucleotide long non-coding RNA is filed under the name Mytilus galloprovincialis (Mediterranean mussel). The record is from RNAcentral. Lineage: Eukaryota; Metazoa; Mollusca; Bivalvia; Mytilida; Mytilidae.
CCCGCGCUUUAUGCAAAUUUUAUGAAAUUGAACUCCACGGAAACACUUCCGGUAAAAACAAUGGCUGAUUCCACCAUUCAAAAUCGUCUAUGAAAAAGUGAAGGUCAGGAUUAUUACAGUGCGAUCACUUAAAAGGUAGGUCAGUAGUGGUUUUUCUUUUUGCGAUUUAUGAAUGGAAUGUGAAAAACUAUAUCUCGAGUGAACGCGAUUGAUAGUUUAGAUUAUUUUUACCGAUAACCGCUACGAAUUUCAGCUGACGGCGACUAUAGGUUAACAUUUAACAAAUACGGAUUUUAAAUUAGUAUACAAAUACUGUGAAUGAUUUUUAUAAUGAAUAAAGGAUAUCCCUGUGUGGCAUUCCAACAAUGACGUCACUAGGUUAGAUAUAUUUAGAAUAUUUCGUAAUACUGAUUUUUCCGGACUGUAAACGAAACGAAUAUAGUGUAAGGGAAAGCUCAAUAUACGAUAAUU